UGGUGACCUCUGGAGCAAAGAGUCCCAUCAGGACCUCCCACCAUGUUGGCACAGCUUCCUGGCAGACUGCGUGCUCCCAGACUCCAGGUGUCCCUCCGGAUGGUGGUCUGCUGUGGACUGGUUUAUACUGGUUUAUACCUACCAAAAAAGCACCUCAGGCUGGAAGAACAGAAGGCGUGACGUACAUCAGAAGGAGGGUGCAAACAGCGGGCAGGAGGCGAAG
Leptonychotes weddellii (Weddell seal) is the source of this 223-nucleotide non-coding RNA. Lineage: Eukaryota; Metazoa; Chordata; Mammalia; Carnivora; Phocidae. The record is from RefSeq and is a predicted model, not a curated record.